UGAUGUUCCAGAACCCUGGGGAAACCGCUGGUGGUUCAGAGACAUUUAGCUUCUCUGAAAGUGAAGUGGAAAGUGUUCUUCUUGAGUGGGAUUUUAAUAGAAGGUCUGCAUGGGGAGGCAGGAGCAAGCAGGGUGAGACAGAAGCAGUCCACAUGAAUGCCUCAUCAAGCAGAGAACUGCGUGUUUAGGCUCCGAAGAGAAAGGUUCCAGCGCCUUUCAUCCUAUUCCCACGUCGCAAGAACUGUAGUCGGCAUUGUAAGAAAAGCUGUAGGAUAGAAAUGAUGCUGCUCCACGCAGACUGCAUUGGGUGUGGAGUGUGGCAACGGAGGACAUGAGAAACACACUGAGGAAGAACAAGAAAGUACAGAAGGUUGGAAGAGAAAAGUAGUAGUGGACUGGAAAAAAUGGGAGAGUGAAAAUGGAGGUAGAUUUGGUCAAGACACAUUAUGUACAUGUGUAAAACUCUCAAUAAAAAGAAAUGUGUCAA
Molecule: long non-coding RNA, 487 nt
Organism: Mesocricetus auratus (golden hamster)
Lineage: Eukaryota; Metazoa; Chordata; Mammalia; Rodentia; Cricetidae
Exons: 2
Source: RefSeq, a predicted model, not a curated record